GCCCUGCAAUGAUUUACAAAAGUGAGAACCACAGGCGAUAUCUAAUACCUAAGAAUCUGAAGUUGAAGUACUUAAUGAUAAGUUUAUUUAUAUUAUAUACCAACCUUUAGUAACACUUGCUUUCUUAUGCUUCAAACUUGCAAGGUAUUCUUUGCAGUUUCUCUUUCAGUGCCCUUCUUUGCCACACUGAUAACAGGUACCCUUAGAGAAGACUUUCUUCGCCUUCUUCUUCGAGAUGCUAGUGUUAGGGUUCAACUUUUUCUUAGAACCCUUC
Molecule: long non-coding RNA, 274 nt
Filed under: Elaeis guineensis (African oil palm)
Lineage: Eukaryota; Viridiplantae; Streptophyta; Magnoliopsida; Arecales; Arecaceae
Description: long non-coding RNA (EGUI_LNC042933)
Source: RNAcentral